GUCAGCUUUCCUGAGGAGUGGUCUC
Molecule: non-coding RNA, 25 nt
Filed under: Mus musculus (house mouse)
Lineage: Eukaryota; Metazoa; Chordata; Mammalia; Rodentia; Muridae
Source: RNAcentral